GACGAACGCUGGCGGCGUGCUUAACACAUGCAAGUCGAACGGGUCUGCCCUGUUUUUUGCGGGGUGGGUCAGUGGCGAACGGGUGAGUAACACGUGAGUAACCUGCCCCUCACUUCUGGAUAACCGCUUGAAAGGGUGGCUAAUACGGGGUGUUCUGGCUGUGCCGCAUGGUGUGGCUGGGAAAGAUUCACUUUUGUGGUGUUUUGGUGGGGGAUGGGCUCGCGGCCUAUCAGCUUGUUGGUGGGGUGAUGGCCUGCCAAGGCUUUGACGGGUAGCCGGCCUGAGAGGGUGGGCGGUCACACUGGGACUGAGAUACGGCCCAGACUCCUGCGGGAGGCAGCAGUGGGGGGUAUUGCACAAUGGGCGGAAGCCUGAUGCAGCGACGUCGCGUGAGGGAUGGAGGCCUUCGGGUUGUGAACCUCUUUCGCAGGUGAAGAAGGUCCUGCUCUUUGUGGUGGGGUUGACGGUAGCCGGGUUAUGAAGCGCCGGCUAACUACGUG
Molecule: ribosomal RNA, 500 nt
Filed under: uncultured bacterium
Lineage: Bacteria
Description: partial 16S ribosomal RNA
Rfam family: Bacterial small subunit ribosomal RNA
Source: RNAcentral